AUGAGGAGGAGGAGGCGCGCGCUCUCUCUACUCCUUGUCGCGGCCACCUACCUCUCCAUCUCGAUCGGCACCGACACCAUCGACCUGACCGCGUCCAUCACCGGCAACCAGACACUCGUCUCCGCCCGUGGAGCAUUCAGGUUAGGCUUCUUCACCCCGCCCGGCAGCUCCGGCGACAGGACCUACAUCGGCAUUUGGUACGCAGGCAUCCCAGUACAGACCGUCGUGUGGGUCGCCAACCGCAAGAAUCCGGUCGUCGGAUCCCCGGGCGUCCUCAAGCUCUCCCCUGACGGCCGCCUUGUAAUCAUCGACGGCCAGAACACCACCGUUUGGUCCUCCGCGGCGCCCACCGGAAACGUGGCCACCGCCGCCACCGCUCGGCUUCUCGACAGCGGCAACUUGGUCGUCAGCUCUGAUGGAAGUGGAUCGAGCCAGAGCGUGGCGUGGCAGAGCUUCGACCACCCGACGGACACGCAGCUCCCGGGCAUGAAGAUCGGGGUGGAUCACAGGAAUGGCUUCGCCUGGAACAUCACGUCGUGGAGCAGCCCGACUGACCCCUCGCCAGGGGAGUAUACGUUCAAGCUGGUCCCCGGCGGGCUCCCGGACUUCUUCCUCUUCGAGGGCCCCGAGAAAAUCUACUCGAGCGGGCCAUUCAACGGGGCCGGGCUCACCGGAGUGCCGAACCUCAUGUCCCAGGAUUUCCACUUCGCCGUCGUGGACAGCCCCGACGCGACGUACUACAGCUACUCCAUCACCAACCCUAAGCUGCUGUCGCGGUUCAUCAUGGACGGCACGGCGGGGCGGAUGCAGCGGUACGUGUGGCUCGACAGCGCGUGGAGAAGCUUCUGGUACUACCCGACGGACCCCUGCGACACCUACGGCAAGUGCGGGCCGUUCGGGUACUGCGACAUGAGCAAGACCCCGCUCUGCAGCUGCCUGCCGGGCUUCGAGCCGCGGUCGAAGCAGCAGUGGGACCUCAGGGACGGGACCAGCGGAUGCGUCAGGACGACCAACCUGAGCUGCGGUGCCGGAGACGGGUUCUGGCCGGUGAACCGGAUGAAGCUGCCGGAGACGACCAACGCGACGGUGCACGCCAACAUGACGCUGGACCAGUGCCGGCAGGCGUGCCUGGCCAACUGCAGCUGCAGAGCCUACUCCGCCGCGAACGUCAGCGGCGGGACCAAUCGCGGGUGCGUCAUUUGGGGCGUCGAUCUGCUUGACAUGAGGCAGUAUCCGGCGGUGGUGCAGGACCUGUACAUCCGGCUCGCGCAGCCAGAUGUAGAUGCCUUGAACGUCUCGGUUGCAGGUAAGCGCCGACGGUCCAUGGUGAUCGCUGUCGCCGCGGCUAUUUCCGGGGUGCUUCUUCUGGCGGCCGCUGGCUGCUUAUGUUUCUGGAGAUACAAGGCGAGGAGGAAGCGUCGGCGUCAGGAGCCUGAAACGGCGGCAGGCAGUGGAGACAACGUGCUUCCAAUGAGGGCCAGGAAACACCCUGAUUUGAGCCCAGCACGGGACGACGAGAACAAGGUGAGCAGCGGCGAAGACGAUCUGGACCUUCCGUUGUUCGAUCUCGCCGUGAUCCUCGCCGCCACGGACAACUUCGCGGCGGAGAGCAAGCUAGGUGAAGGUGGAUUUGGCCCUGUCUAUUUGGGGAGGCUUGAGGAUGGGCAAGAAGUAGCUGUGAAGAGGAUGUCCAAGAAAUCAUCACAAGGUGUCGAGGAAUUCAAGAACGAGGUGAGACUAAUCGCCAAGCUCCAGCACAGGAACCUGGUGAGGCUGCUCGGCUGCUGCAUCGAAGAAGACGAGAGGAUGCUCGUGUACGAGUUCAUGCACAACAACUGCCUGGAUACGUUUAUAUUUGAUGAGGCAAAGCGUAAGUUACUGGGAUGGAGCAAACGCUUCGAGAUCAUUCUGGGGAUCGCACGGGGUCUGCUCUAUCUCCACGAGGAUUCCAGGGUCAAGAUCAUCCACAGAGAUAUGAAAGCGAGCAACGUGUUGCUGGACAGAAACAUGGUCCCCAAGAUAUCGGACUUCGGCAUCGCCAGGAUGUUUGGCGGUGAUCAGACAACUGCGUACACCUUGAAGGUCAUCGGGACAUACGGUUACAUGUCUCCAGAAUACGCCAUGGAUGGCGUCUUCUCCAUCAAAUCCGACAUCUACAGCUUCGGCGUCAUGGUGCUGGAGAUCGUCACCGGCAAGAAAAUCCGAGGCUUUUACGAUGACGAGCUUGAUCUAAACCUUUGCGGUUAUGCGUGGAUGUUGUGGAAGGAAGGCAGGAGCACGGAGCUCCUGGACGAUGCGAUGGGCAACACUUGCGAUCAGAGUCAGGUGCGGAGGUGCAUACAGGUUGCUCUCAUGUGCGUCGACGUGCAGCCUAGGAACAGGCCGAUGAUGUCUUCGGUCGUCAUGAUGCUGGCCGGCGAGAAUGCCACGUUGCCGGAGCCAAAUGAGCCCGGAGUUAACCUAAGGAGGAACAGGACCGAUACAGGAUCUUCUGAAACUCAAAGAGAGUUCAGCUUCACCGUGACUACGACAGAUACUAGCUAG
This 2544-nucleotide ribosomal RNA is filed under the name Triticum aestivum (bread wheat). Its description in RNAcentral is "partial small subunit ribosomal RNA". Lineage: Eukaryota; Viridiplantae; Streptophyta; Magnoliopsida; Poales; Poaceae. The record is from RNAcentral.